AAACGGCAAUGGGUAUCUCUUUACAGGUGAAUGACGAACAAAAGCUUAAAUAUCGCAACGCCGUUUAUGCUAUACUCAAUAUCAUUCCAAAAAGAGCUUCAAGACCUUGGUAUUUAUUAGACAAUAUAUUUGCAUUUUCAUCACAAGGACGAUUGCAAGAAGAACUAUUACAAACGUUGCAUGGUUUUACAAAAAAAAUAAUUGCAGAGAGAAAACUUUUUCACGAAAAAACAAAUGGAAAAUAUUUAAAAACUUUCGAAACGGUUGAAGAGAAUGACGUUUUUCCCGAAGGACACGAGGAGAAUAUCAAAAAUCCGACAUACAAAAAAAAACUUGCUAUGUUAGAUUUACUAAUAGCAGCUUCUUGGAAUGGAAAUCAAAUUGAUGAUGAAGGAAUCAGAGAGGAAGUGGAUACAUUUAUGUUUGCAGGUCACGACACUACUGCAACGGCAUUGGUCUUUCUUCUGAGUCUUAUAGCUAAACAUAAAGACGUUCAGGAACGUAUAAGAGAAGAAGUGAAUAGUAUUAUGAACCAAGAAAAUUAUCAAAUGACGAUGUCGGUGGUUCAAGAAUUUUCCUAUUUAGAGAGAUGCAUAAAAGAAUCUCUACGUUUAUACCCAAGUGUCCAUUUUGUGGCACGAUAUUUAACUGAUGAUAUGCAGUUAAAAAAGUUUUUAAUCCCAGCCGGUACUAACAUUCGAAUUAACAUCUUUCAUUUACACCGAAAUCCAGAAUUUUGGCCCAAUCCUGAUGUUUUCGAUCCUGAUAGAUUUUUACCAGAAAAUAUUAGUAAACGCAAUGCGUACUGUUAUAUUCCAUUUAGUGCAGGAUUAAGAAACUGCAUUGGUCAAAAAUAUGCAAUGUUCGAAAUGAAACUUAUGGUUGCCCAUAUAUUACAUCACUUUUAUUUAGAGCCAGUAGAGGAUUUGGAUAACAUUAAAUUGAUAGGAGAUAUUAUUUUGCGACCAGCGAAACCACUUCAUGUCAAAUUUAUUCCGAUAAAAUUAUAAGAACUAAAUUUUUUUUUAUUGAAUAUUUCAUCAAAUGAAUUUUAGUAUACAGCUUUCAGGUACUAUCAUACCACCACACCAACGCGCAUGCGCAGUGAUUGAAACUGAGAAGACUCGACAUCGAAUAAUAAGCCCUUACUCUAAUCGUUCUCGUAAUCGCUAUUAUUAUGUUUUUGUAACUUGGUUAUCUCAGUUCUUUUCAACAAAUUUCAUACUGUUUCUUUAAUCUAUCCACUGCUCAUUUAGUGCAUUACCACUUACAUUCUGAACUCGUGGAUGUGCCGAAAUCGCGUGCAUUAAAAUUCUCACUUUCAUUCCAUUUCACUUGAGUUACAUCGCGAUAAUUAGAAUCAAUCGCGUUUAGUGUCAUAAUUUUUUUGCAAAUUCGUUUAGAUUACUUAUUGAUAUACUUUUAUGUUCUCUCAUUGUAAUUUACCAAUAAAGAUCUCACUUUUCGUGCUCAUUCACUCUUCUUAAAUGUUGAAUUUUGACUUAUCCUUGAUGUUUAUGCAUAGCAUCGGCAUAAGCGAACACUUAGUCCAUUCCUAAAGAAAUACUCUGUCUUAAGUCCACUGGUCCAAUACUUCAGUAAUGUCUAUUUAUGUAUUUGGGCAUGGAGGCGUCUGUUCCAAAUUUAUAUUAUAUUUACGUAUUUAUAUUUCGAGAUUGUUAUAUACCUUGAUGUCUACGGGUCGAAAUUCAAUACAAAUAAUAUUUUACUUUUGUAAUUUUCACAUUUAUUGUUCUUUAACAUAUAGUUGGUUAAAACACAUUGUGCUCCACGAGUAGUAUUGUUGAUCUUGCAUGUCAAUUUAAAUCAGUCAAUGUAUUAUUACUUACCUAAGCAUAUAUGAAUAUUGUACGUAAUAUCACAUUAUUCUUUUUGAAGUGAAAACUUUUUUAGAAUGGGUGUGAUUCGAAAAAAUGUAACGAAGCUGUAAGCGGCUUCGUAACGGAACGGUAGGAGGCUAUGAAACGGAAACAAUACUAAAUAAGAGGAAAAGAAGAGACAAACAUAUAGGAUUGAGCCUGCGAGAGAAUGAAACAGAAUAUAGCUAUACAGUUUUUCCUAUUCUCGGUCUUUGAUUCGUGGUCCCCACUCCUGGCUACUAAGCUUUGUGUGCGUGCGUGUGUGUUUUUGUGUCACAAAGGCAAGCUCUGUUUCUGGCGUAAUGUUGCUACGUCAGAGCGUUGCUAUGGUAACCAUCAACGGUUUUUCACAUAUAACUAAAUCGUACUUUGUCCGUUACAAAAAAAAAACUUUCUAUUUCUCCAUUGGACGUCUUCGAC
Molecule: unclassified non-coding RNA, 2300 nt
Filed under: Polistes dominula (European paper wasp)
Lineage: Eukaryota; Metazoa; Arthropoda; Insecta; Hymenoptera; Vespidae
Description: cytochrome P450 4C1-like, transcript variant X1
Source: RNAcentral